AGGUAGGACUACCCGCUGAACUUAAGCAUAUCAAUAAGCCGGAGGAAUUU
RNAcentral lists this ribosomal RNA (50 nucleotides) under Trametes versicolor. RNAcentral's name for it is "partial 28S ribosomal RNA". Lineage: Eukaryota; Fungi; Basidiomycota; Agaricomycetes; Polyporales; Polyporaceae. The record is from RNAcentral.